Molecule: ribosomal RNA, 253 nt
Filed under: uncultured bacterium
Lineage: Bacteria
Description: partial 16S ribosomal RNA
Rfam family: Bacterial small subunit ribosomal RNA
Source: RNAcentral
UACGGAGGAUGCAAGCGUUAUCCGGAAUGAUUGGGCGUAAAGCGUCCGCAGGUGGCUGUGUAAGUCUGCUGUCAAAGAGCGAAGCUCAACUUCGUAAAGGCAGUGGAAACUACACGGCUAGAGUGCGUUCGGGGCAGAGGGAAUUCCUGGUGUAGCGGUGAAAUGCGUAGAGAUCAGGAAGAACACCGGUGGCGAAGGCGCUCUGCUAGGCCGCAACUGACACUGAGGGACGAAAGCUAGGGGAGCGAACGGG